This 301-nucleotide ribosomal RNA is filed under the name uncultured bacterium. RNAcentral describes it as "partial 16S ribosomal RNA". It matches the Rfam family "Bacterial small subunit ribosomal RNA", at positions 509 to 807 of the family's 1533-position model. The record is from RNAcentral.
CAGUCGCCACGGGAAUACGUAGGGGGCAAGCGUUAUCCGGAAUUACUGGGUGUAAAGGGAGCGUAGACGGUUAAACAAGUCUGAAGUGAGAUGCCGGGGCUCAACCCCGGAGCUGCUUUGGGAACUGUAGAACUGGAGUGUCGGAGGGGUAAGCGGAAUUCCCAGUGUAGCGGUGAAAUGCGUAGAUAUUGGGAGGAACACCGGCGGCGAAGGCGGCUUACUGGACGACAACUGACGUUGAGGCUCGAAGGCGUGGGUAGCAGACAGGAUUAGAUACCCCAGUAGUCCCUGUCUCUUAUAC